AAACAAUACUAAAAACCUGACGACAGACAGACCACUGCAUCCCAAAAUCCUCCAAACUCCAAAUCCUCAGGACACGACUCCAAGAAAUACAGGUCGGUCCAGGGUCUCUAUGGUCAUCGUUAUCUUUGCCUUUAUAUCAGUUGUGGCUGUCGCUGCUUUCACUCCAUGUUUCUCUGACCGUGUAAAUAAGCAACCAGAGGAUGAUGAGACGCAAAGAUAACCUGGCAUUGUUAGGAACGCUGGUGUUAAUGGAGCUCAGAGCGUUAGAGCUUUAUCUUCCCUGGAUCUUCAGUCAGGUUGGGAAUUCAAACCAGCAGCCACAGAGAGACACUCAGGUCCAGCAGCACUGAGAUCAUCAUAAGGUCACUCCUACAAAAGGAUCUUUAGUUGUGAUCAAGUGCUGGCUGAUGUGCAUCACCCGCUG
Molecule: non-coding RNA, 424 nt
Organism: Maylandia zebra (zebra mbuna)
Lineage: Eukaryota; Metazoa; Chordata; Actinopteri; Cichliformes; Cichlidae
Source: RefSeq, a predicted model, not a curated record